Molecule: ribosomal RNA, 492 nt
Filed under: uncultured bacterium
Lineage: Bacteria
Description: partial 16S ribosomal RNA
Rfam family: Bacterial small subunit ribosomal RNA
Source: RNAcentral
AGUGAACGCUGGCGGCAGGCCUAACACAUGCAAGUCGAACGGCAGCACAGUAAGAGCUUGCUCUUACGGGUGGCGAGUGGCGGACGGGUGAGGAAUACAUCGGAAUCUACUUUUUCGUGGGGGAUAACGUAGGGAAACUUACGCUAAUACCGCAUCCGACCUACGGGUGAAAGCAGGGGAUCUUCGGACCUUGCGGGAUUGAAUGAGCCGAUGUCGGAUUAGCUAGUUGGCGGGGUAAAGGCCAACCAAGGCGACGAUCCGUAGCUGGUCUGAGAGGAUGAUCAGCCACACUGGAACUGAGACACGGUCCAGACUCCUACGGGAGGCAGCAGUGGGGAAUAUUGGACAAUGGGCGCAAGCCUGAUCCAGCCAUACCGCGUGGGUGAAGAAGGCCUUCGGGUUGUAAAGCCCUUUUGUUGGGAAAGAAAAGCAGCAGGUUAAUACCCCGCUGUUCUGACGGUACCCAAAGAAUAAGCACCGGCUAACUUCGUG